Molecule: ribosomal RNA, 408 nt
Filed under: uncultured bacterium
Lineage: Bacteria
Description: partial 16S ribosomal RNA
Rfam family: Bacterial small subunit ribosomal RNA
Source: RNAcentral
GACGAACGCUGGCGGCGUGCCUAAUACAUGCAAGUAGAACGCAGUUGCGAACGGGUGAGUAACGCGUAGGUAACCUGCCUCAUAGCGGGGGAUAACUAUUGGAAACGCUAGCUAAUACCGCAUACUGUGAGAUGGACCUGCGUUGUAUUAGCUAGUGGGUGAGGUAAAGGUACACCAAGGCGACGACACAUAGCCGACCUGAGAGGGUGGUCGGACACACUGGGACUUGGACACGGCCCAGAACCCGACGGGGGGCAGCAGUAGGGAAUCUUCGGCAAUGGACGGAAGGCUGGACGGGCAACGCCGCGGGAGUGAAGAAGGUUUUCGGAUCGGAAAGCUCUGGUGUUAGGGGAGCGGUAACUAACCAGAAAGGGACGGCUAACUACGUGCCAGCAGCCGCGGUAAUAC